Non-coding RNA from Strongylocentrotus purpuratus (purple sea urchin), 47 nucleotides. The record is from Rfam. NCBI's taxonomy places the organism in Eukaryota, Metazoa, Echinodermata, Echinoidea, Camarodonta, Strongylocentrotidae.
CAAACGGCUCUUUUCAGAGCCACCAAAUAAUCAAGAAAGAAUACUGU